This 440-nucleotide ribosomal RNA is filed under the name uncultured bacterium. Its description in RNAcentral is "partial 16S ribosomal RNA". It matches the Rfam family "Bacterial small subunit ribosomal RNA", at positions 338 to 795 of the family's 1533-position model. The record is from RNAcentral.
CCUACGGGAGGCAGCAGUGGGGAAUAUUGCACAAUGGGGGAAACCCUGAUGCAGCGACGCCGCGUGAGUGAAGAAGUAAUUCGUUAUGUAAAGCUCUAUCAGCAGGGAAGAAAAUUACGGUACCUGAGUAAGACUCCCCGGCUAACUACGUGCCAGCAGCCGCGGUACUACGUAGGUGGCCGGCGUUGUCCGGAUUUACUGGGUGUAAGGGGCGUGCAGCCGGGAAGAAAAGUCAGAUGUGAAAUCCCGCGGCUCAACCGCGGAACUGCAUUUGAAACUGUCUUUCUUGAGUACAGGAGAGGUCAUCGGAAUGCCGUGUGUAGCGGUGAAAUGCGUAGAUAUAAGGAAGAACACCAGUGGCGAAGGCGGAUGACUGGACGGAAACUGACGGUGAGGCGCGAAAGCGUGGGGAGCAAACAGGAUUAGAUACCCUGGUAGUC